Molecule: ribosomal RNA, 1194 nt
Filed under: Triticum aestivum (bread wheat)
Lineage: Eukaryota; Viridiplantae; Streptophyta; Magnoliopsida; Poales; Poaceae
Description: partial small subunit ribosomal RNA
Source: RNAcentral
GGAGUCUAUGAAUCGAAGGUGUGAGAAGCAAAUAGACAGUGGAACAAGACCACAUGCAAGACUAACUGCGGGGCUAAAAUGAGGCUGAAGAAGCAAAAGGAUGGAACACUUGUCAUAAAAGAGAUAUGCUGGGAACACAACCAUAGGCUACAGCUCACCCCCCAAAUGCUUGUCUUCUUGCACUCCCACAAAAACUUUGACAAGACAAUCUUGGAGUACGUCAAGUACCUGCAAUUCAGCAUUGAACACGUGCAAAUCAUGAGCAUACUGGGCGGCGAUGACCCCGGUAGCUACUUCCUCGAAAUGAAUGCCAAAUACCUGACUAACAUCAAAGCAAAGAAUUCAAGGAUGGAUGAUGUGGACGAUGUCCUGAAGACUGUCAACUUCUUUAGGAGACAACUUGAUGAGUCCGACAGAGUGAAGAACAUAUUCUGGGCAAACGCGAGCUGCCGAGGGGCAUAUCAAGAAUUUGGUAACUGUGUGACGUUUGACACCACGUAUAAGACCAACAAAUACCAUAUGCCACUUGGAGUGUUUGUGGGUACUAACAACCACUUACAGACUACAAUCUUUGCUUUCGCCCUGAUAAGAGAUGACGAUGUAGAUUCAUUCAGAUGGCUUUUCAAAACAUUUUUAAGAUUCAUGAGAGGGAAGGCUCCUACAUGCAUCCUCACAGACCAGUGCCUAGCAAUGUCUUUGGCAAUCCCAGAUGUUUUCAGGAACACCGUACACAAACUAUGCCACUGGCACAUUAUGAAGAAGUACAGGGAACACCUUGCGUACCUGUACAACCUCCACUAAACCUUUAAGGAUGAAUCCACAACAAUCCUUAACUGGCCCCUCAUGCCAACUGAGUUUGAGACUGCCUGGAAAGAACUCAUGGAUACAUACAACCUCCAUGAUGAUGCCACGAUGGUGGCAAUGUGUAACGAGCGCGAGAGAUGGCUAUCAGCUUACUUCAAAGAAAUUUUCUAUGCCAGAAUGACAUCCACACAACGGAGUGAGAGCAUGAACUAUGUGCUGACGAAUAACUUCGUAAGUGAGAGACCAAACCUGCACCGGUUUUUCAGCCACGUAAACACCUGGUCAAAACCAGGAGGCAAGCAGAAAACCAGGAGACAAUGGGUAACCGGAUAUAGCUCUAUCACAUGUCGUAAGACAAAUAAUGUGCUUACUAAAGUAAUUCUUUCUUAG